UACGUAGGGGGCUAGCGUUGUCCGGAAUCAUUGGGCGUAAAGAGCGCGUAGGCGGCCAGAUAAGUCCGGUGUGAAAGUCAAAGGCUCAACCUUUGAAUGCCGCUGGAAACUGUCUGGCUAGAGUCCGGGAGGGGCGAGUGGAAUUCCUGGUGUAGCGGUGAAAUGCGCAGAUAUCAGGAGGAACACCAAUGGCGAAGGCAGCUCGCUGGAACGGUACUGACGCUGAGGCGCGAAAGCGUGGGGAGCGAACAGG
This 253-nucleotide ribosomal RNA is filed under the name uncultured bacterium. RNAcentral's name for it is "partial 16S ribosomal RNA". It matches the Rfam family "Bacterial small subunit ribosomal RNA", at positions 524 to 776 of the family's 1533-position model. The record is from RNAcentral.